Molecule: small RNA, 29 nt
Filed under: Bombyx mori (domestic silkworm)
Lineage: Eukaryota; Metazoa; Arthropoda; Insecta; Lepidoptera; Bombycidae
Description: ovarian small RNA-32838
Source: RNAcentral
UGAUGAUGUAAUUCCUAGGUUAUUAUCGU